This 497-nucleotide ribosomal RNA is filed under the name uncultured bacterium. RNAcentral describes it as "partial 16S ribosomal RNA". It matches the Rfam family "Bacterial small subunit ribosomal RNA", at positions 28 to 507 of the family's 1533-position model. The record is from RNAcentral.
GAUGAACGCUGGCGGCGUGCCUAAUACAUGCAAGUCGAGCGAACAGACGAGGAGCUUGCUCCUCUGACGUUAGCGGCGGACGGGUGAGUAACACGUAGGUAACCUACCUAUAAGCCUGGGAUAACUUCUGGAAACCGUAGCUAAUACCGGAUAAUAUAUUGAACCGCAUGUUUCAAUAGUGAAAGACGGUUUUGCUGUCACUUAUAAAUGGAUUCGGUCCGCAUUAGCAAGUUGUUAAGGUAACGGCUUACCAAGGCAACGAUGCGUAGCCGCCCUGAGAGGGUGAUCGGCCACACUGGAACUGGGACCCGGUCCAGACUCCUACGGGGGGCAGAAGUAGGGAUUCUUCGGCAAUGGGCGAAAGCCUGCCGGGGCACCGCGGCGUGAGGGAGGAAGGUCUUCGGAUCUUAAAACUCUGUUAUUAUGGAAGAACAAAUGUGUAAGUAACUAUGCACGUCUUGACGGUACCUUAUCAGAAAGCCACGGCUAACUACGUG